GAGUUUGAUCCUGGCUCAGGACGAACGCUGGCGGCGUGCCUAACACAUGCAAGUCGAGCGGGGAACACUGGAAGCUUGCUUUUGGUGUUUCUAGCGGCGGACGGGUGAGUAACGCGUGAGCAAUCUGUCUCAGACAGGGGGAUAACGCAGCGAAAGUUGCACUAAUACCGCAUAAGACCACGGGAUCACAUGGUUCUGGGGUAAAAGGUUUAUCGGUUUGGGGUGGGCUCGCGUCCGAUUAGCUAGUUGGCGGGGUAACGGCCCACCAAGGCGACGAUCAGUAGCCGGACUGAGAGGUUGAACGGCCACAUUGGGACUGAGAUACGGCCCAGACUCCUACGGGAGGCAGCAGUGGGGAAUAUUGGGCAAUGGGCGCAAGCCUGACCCAGCAACGCCGCGUGAAGGAAGAAGGCUUUCGGGUUGUAAACUUCUUUUAAGAGGGAAGAGCAGAAGACGGUACCUCUAGAAUAAGCCACGGCUAACUACGUGCCAGCCGCCGCGGUAAUAC
This 508-nucleotide ribosomal RNA is filed under the name uncultured bacterium. RNAcentral describes it as "bacterial SSU rRNA". It matches the Rfam family "Bacterial small subunit ribosomal RNA", at positions 9 to 526 of the family's 1533-position model. The record is from RNAcentral.